AACGCACCUUGCGCUCUCUGGUAUUCCGGAGAGCACGUCUGUCUGAGUGUCGCUUUACUCUCAACCACCCAGUUUUCUUUUAAUUAGAAGACUUGAGGAGUUGGAUCUUGAGCGUUGCCGGGUCCCUUGGUUGGGAUCGUUGGCUCGCUUUAAAAGUCUGGAUUGUGUCUUCGAGGUCGUUAAUCCUAGUCGACGUGUAAUUAAAUUUAUCGUUGGCGUCCGGAGGCCUCUUAAUGGACCUUUCCCCCCUAUCGUUAAAGUCUUAGGACUUUUUCUGUUUGAACUUUUGACCUCAGAUCAGGCGGGACUACCCGCUGAACUUAA
RNAcentral lists this ribosomal RNA (324 nucleotides) under uncultured fungus. RNAcentral's name for it is "eukaryotic LSU rRNA". The stretch from base 1 to 52 matches the Rfam family "5.8S ribosomal RNA", at positions 103 to 154 of the family's 154-position model. The record is from RNAcentral. Lineage: Eukaryota; Fungi.